RNAcentral lists this ribosomal RNA (253 nucleotides) under uncultured bacterium. RNAcentral describes it as "partial 16S ribosomal RNA". It matches the Rfam family "Bacterial small subunit ribosomal RNA", at positions 524 to 776 of the family's 1533-position model. The record is from RNAcentral.
UACGUAGGGGGCAAGCGUUGUCUGGAAUCAUUGGGCGUAAAGAGCGUGUAGGCGGCUUGGUAAGUCCGCUGUGAAAGUCCAGGGCUCAACCCUGGAAUGCCGGUGGAAACUGUCAAGCUUGAGUCCGGAAGAGGCGAGUGGAAUUCCUGGUGUAGCGGUGAAAUGCGCAGAUAUCAGGAGGAACACCGGUGGCGAAGGCGGGUCUCUGGGCCGAUACUGACGCUGAGGUGCGAAAGCGUGGGGAGCAAACAGG